Small nuclear RNA from Diospyros lotus (date-plum), 160 nucleotides. RefSeq annotates it as U1 spliceosomal RNA. The transcript has a single exon. The record is from RefSeq and is a predicted model, not a curated record. NCBI's taxonomy places the organism in Eukaryota, Viridiplantae, Streptophyta, Magnoliopsida, Ericales, Ebenaceae.
AUACUUACCUGGGCGGGGUAUACAGGCGAUCAGGAAGGCCUGUUGCCUGGGCUGAUGGGCUCCAUUGCACGUAGGAGGGCUAUAUGCCUAAGGUCGGCCCAAGCGGUCGAGCCUACGCCAUAAUUUGUACGAGGGGGGGCAUGCGUUCGCGCGGCCCCUA